This 747-nucleotide ribosomal RNA is filed under the name uncultured bacterium. Its description in RNAcentral is "bacterial SSU rRNA". It matches the Rfam family "Bacterial small subunit ribosomal RNA", at positions 28 to 776 of the family's 1533-position model. The record is from RNAcentral.
GAUGAACGCUGGCGGCGUGCCUAACACAUGCAAGUCGAACGAGGCAAAUAAGUUGAAGUUUUCGGAUGGAUUCUUAUUUACCGAGUGGCGGACGGGUGAGUAACGCGUGGGUAACCUGCCUCAUACAGGGGGAUAACGGUUAGAAAUGACUGCUAAUACCGCAUAAGCGCACAGUACCGCAUGGUACGGUGUGAAAAACUCCGGUGGUAUGAGAUGGACCCGCGUCUGAUUAGCUAGUUGGCGAGGUAACGGCCCACCAAGGCGACGAUCAGUAGCCGACCUGAGAGGGUGACCGGCCACAUUGGGACUGAGACACGGCCCAGACUCCUACGGGAGGCAGCAGUGGGGGAUAUUGCACAAUGGAGGAAACUCUGAUGCAGCGACGCCGCGUGAGUGAAGAAGUAUUUCGGUAUGUAAAGCUCUAUCAGCAGGGAAGAAAAUGACGGUACCUGACUAAGAAGCCCCGGCUAACUACGUGCCAGCAGCCGCGGUAAUACGUAGGGGGCAAGCGUUAUCCGGAUUUACUGGGUGUAAAGGGAGCGUAGACGGCGACGCAAGUCUGAAGUGAAAUACCCGGGCUCAACCUGGGAACUGCUUUGGAAACUGUGUUGCUAGAGUGCCGGAGAGGUAAGCGGAAUUCCUAGUGUAGCGGUGAAAUGCGUAGAUAUUAGGAAGAACACCAGUGGCGAAGGCGGCUUACUGGACAGUAACUGACGUUGAGGCUCGAAAGCGUGNGGAGCAAACAGG